RNAcentral lists this ribosomal RNA (253 nucleotides) under uncultured bacterium. RNAcentral's name for it is "partial 16S ribosomal RNA". It matches the Rfam family "Bacterial small subunit ribosomal RNA", at positions 524 to 776 of the family's 1533-position model. The record is from RNAcentral.
UACGUAGGUGACAAGCGUUGUCCGGAUUUACUGGGCGUAAAGAGCGCGCAGGCGGUCGAUCAAGUCGAGUGUGAAAGCCCCCGGCUCAACUGGGGAGGGUCAUUCGAUACUGAUCGACUCGAAGGCAGGAGAGGGUAGUGGAAUUCCCGGUGUAGUGGUGAAAUGCGUAGAUAUCGGGAGGAACACCGGUGGCGAAGGCGGCCUUCUGGACGGAUACUGACGCUGAUACGCGAAAGCGUGGGGAGCAAACAGG